RNAcentral lists this transfer RNA (91 nucleotides) under Oscillospiraceae bacterium. RNAcentral describes it as "tRNA-Ser". It matches the Rfam family "tRNA". Rfam says of the family: Transfer RNA (tRNA) molecules are approximately 80 nucleotides in length. Their secondary structure includes four short double-helical elements and three loops (D, anti-codon, and T loops). Lineage: Bacteria; Bacillati; Bacillota; Clostridia; Eubacteriales; Oscillospiraceae. The record is from RNAcentral.
GGAGGUGUACCCAAGUGGUUGAAGGGUCCGGUCUUGAAAACCGGUAGGUCCUGCGAGGGACGCAAGAGUUCGAAUCUCUUCACCUCCGCCA